Molecule: non-coding RNA, 141 nt
Filed under: Candidatus Zhuqueibacterota
Lineage: Bacteria; Pseudomonadati
Description: Candidate division MoCo sequence
Rfam family: Molybdenum/Tungsten riboswitch aptamer (Moco RNA motif)
Source: RNAcentral
AAUUUAAUUACUCCGACCCCGACGGCCUAAACCUUUUUGGCAUGGUCGUCGGAGCGGUAUCCCGAGGUUAUAUCGGGAUCAAGGGUUUGGUUGGAAAUUUCCAAGCCUCCCAUUUAGGAAAGGAGAAAACAUGAAAAGGUU